RNAcentral lists this transfer RNA (58 nucleotides) under Nasonia vitripennis (jewel wasp). It matches the Rfam family "tRNA", at positions 8 to 63 of the family's 71-position model. From Rfam's summary of the family: Transfer RNA (tRNA) molecules are approximately 80 nucleotides in length. Their secondary structure includes four short double-helical elements and three loops (D, anti-codon, and T loops). The record is from Rfam by way of RNAcentral. Lineage: Eukaryota; Metazoa; Arthropoda; Insecta; Hymenoptera; Pteromalidae.
UGGCUCAUGUGGUAGAGCCAUGGAUUUGUAAUCCGUUGGUCCCAGGAUCGAAUCCUAG